CGUAGGUGGCAAGCGUUGUCCGGAUUUAUUGGGUUUAAAGGGUGCGUAGGCGGCCCUGUAAGUCAGUGGUGAAAUACUCCAGCUUAACUGGAGGGGUGCCAUUGAUACUGCAGGGCUUGAGUGGAGUCGAGGUAGGCGGAAUUGACGGUGUAGCGGUGAAAUGCUUAGAUAUCGUCAAGAACACCGAUAGUGUAGACAGCUUACUAGGCUUCAACUGACGCUGAGGCACGAAAGUGUGGGGAUCAAACAGGAUUAGAUACCCUGGUAGUCCACACUGUAAACGUUGAUUACUCGCUGUUGGCGAUACACAGUCAGCGGCUAAGCGCAAGCGAUAAGUAAUCCACCUGGGGAGUACGCCGGCAACGGUG
RNAcentral lists this ribosomal RNA (368 nucleotides) under uncultured organism. RNAcentral's name for it is "bacterial SSU rRNA". It matches the Rfam family "Bacterial small subunit ribosomal RNA", at positions 526 to 896 of the family's 1533-position model. The record is from RNAcentral.